GAUAAAUCGAUGAGCAAGAAGAGUACGUUCAGCCGAUUCGUUACAGAGAACCGGGCAAGGUGAGAGCCGGUGCGAUACGCUGUUCGGAAUGGCCUUGCGAGAGGCGUCCUGAACUUUUAGUAGGGAUGCCCGGGUUUCCGCCGUUAAAAGGAUAGAGCAUCGGAAAAGUUCCUGUGCUCGAAAAGGGGAAGCUUUUGCUUCAAUCGAGGUGGCACCGCGGCGUAGUUCGUCCUCCAA
This 237-nucleotide non-coding RNA is filed under the name Bacillus smithii. Its description in RNAcentral is "T-box sequence". It matches the Rfam family "T-box leader". From Rfam's summary of the family: Uncharged tRNA acts as the effector for transcription antitermination of genes in the T-box leader family. T-boxes are found upstream of many aminoacyl-tRNA synthetase genes and some amino acid biosynthetic genes usually in Gram-positive bacteria. Lineage: Bacteria; Bacillati; Bacillota; Bacilli; Caryophanales; Bacillaceae. The record is from RNAcentral.